UUUUGUUUUUGUUUUUGUUUGGUUCUUGCUUUAUCAGAUGCCAAUUUCUUCGCAUCAAUAGCUUUAUUUUUGUUCUUCUUUUUUGUCUGUGACAUUUCUCAGGCUCUGGACCGGUGCCGGGAUCAGUUGCCGGCGGCAAGAAGAAUGUGACGGCGAGUUCGGAUGUUCCGGCGGCUCCGAAGAACACUGCUGAUGGAGGAAAAGCAUCUCUUCAGCCGAAACGCACACCUGUCUCCGACAAGGAAAUUGAAUCCAUAAUGGUGAGUGAAAUUAAUAACUCUUAACAAAACGCUUUCAUUACGAAAAUGGAAAGAAAAAGAAAAACAAUUCAUAAUAACUCAACUAUGAAUUUUGCAGUUGGGUGGUUGCAUCUGACAUUCCUGUAUUUGAAGAUAUGAUCGACACUUUGGGUUCUAUCUCUUUUCGGCUGGUGAAGUUU
Molecule: long non-coding RNA, 439 nt
Filed under: Eutrema salsugineum
Lineage: Eukaryota; Viridiplantae; Streptophyta; Magnoliopsida; Brassicales; Brassicaceae
Description: long non-coding RNA (ESAL_LNC000439)
Source: RNAcentral